RNAcentral lists this ribosomal RNA (233 nucleotides) under uncultured bacterium. Its description in RNAcentral is "partial 16S ribosomal RNA". It matches the Rfam family "Bacterial small subunit ribosomal RNA", at positions 794 to 1024 of the family's 1533-position model. The record is from RNAcentral.
UCCACGCUGUAAACGAUGAACACUUGGUGUUGCGGGUAUUGACCCCUGCAGUGCCGAAGCUAACGCAUUAAGUGUUCCGCCUGGGGAGUACGGUCGCAAGGCUGAAACUCAAAGGAAUUGAACGGGGGCCCGCACAAGCGGUGGAGCAUGUGGUUUAAUUCGACGCAACGCGAAGAACCUUACCUGGGUUUAAAUUGCAGUGGACCGCUCUAGAGAUAGAGUUUCCCUUCGGG